AUGGGCUACAUCUAGCCUCCAUGAUCUGAGCCUUUGCCUUCUCCAUCAUGUGAUACAAAAAGCCCAUCUGGGGAUACCUCUCGCUAUCCACGGCCCGCAACACUUUAUAUAAUGGUUUGAUAGCCUUGAUUAUCGCAUUGGCCCGCUGCCAGAAUGACUACCUGCUUACCAAGUCUUCCAUCUUGCUUCCUUCAAUGCCGGCCUGGGCAUAUCUACUUUCCUGCCACUCGGAACUGACAAACAUCUGACGUAGGGCUCCUUUCUUCUCGAUAAGGCUAUCAAGUGCAAUGUAAUUCGUAGCAAACCGUGUGACUCCUGGUCUAAGAAUUUCUCCCCCUGCAUACUUUCUCAUUAAUGAAAGAACCCAAGUAUGGCUAUAAAUAUAC
Molecule: long non-coding RNA, 386 nt
Filed under: Phoenix dactylifera (date palm)
Lineage: Eukaryota; Viridiplantae; Streptophyta; Magnoliopsida; Arecales; Arecaceae
Description: long non-coding RNA (PDAC_LNC015745)
Source: RNAcentral